Molecule: non-coding RNA, 89 nt
Filed under: Pseudomonas tolaasii NCPPB 2192
Lineage: Bacteria; Pseudomonadati; Pseudomonadota; Gammaproteobacteria; Pseudomonadales; Pseudomonadaceae
Source: RNAcentral
UGUGGGAGCUGGCUUGCCUGCGAUGGCGGUGGGUCAGCCGGCAUUUCUGCUACUGAUACACCGUCAUCGCAGGCAAGCCAGCUCCCCCA